This 253-nucleotide ribosomal RNA is filed under the name uncultured bacterium. Its description in RNAcentral is "partial 16S ribosomal RNA". It matches the Rfam family "Bacterial small subunit ribosomal RNA", at positions 524 to 776 of the family's 1533-position model. The record is from RNAcentral.
UACGAAGGGUGCAAGCGUUGUUCGGAAUUAUUGGGCGUAAAGGGUUCGUAGGUGGGAAGGUAAGUCGAGUGUGAAAUCCCUGAGCUUAACUCAGGACGUGCACCCGAAACUGCUUUUCUUGAGUGUUGGAGAGGGUCGUAGAAUUGCUGGUGUAGGAGUGAAAUCCGUAGAUAUCAGCAGGAAUACCAGAGGCGAAGGCGGCGACCUGGCCAAACACUGACACUGAGGAACGAAAGCGUGGGGAGCAAACAGG